Long non-coding RNA from Parasteatoda tepidariorum (common house spider), 505 nucleotides. RefSeq lists it as uncharacterized. NCBI's taxonomy places the organism in Eukaryota, Metazoa, Arthropoda, Arachnida, Araneae, Theridiidae. The record is from RefSeq and is a predicted model, not a curated record.
CUUUCAUACUUGAGGAUGGUCGGCUGAGUGGCUUUCAUCUGCCAUCAGAGGUCACUCACUUCUUGCUUCAAGUCCAAAACUCUGAAUUUGAAGAAUGUUGGCCACUGUCUACGAGUGAAGAGCUCUCACACCCUACUCUUUCUCUCGUGAACAGCUCGUCAAGAGGACACUCAUCACAAUCCAAGAAAUGAAAUCAGUCCACAGGCCUUUGUUAGGCACAUUCUGGCUGUGGAACAACACACUUUCUGGUUGGAACGAUAGUUGCGACAUUUUUCAGACUUUCAUAUAGCUGUAGCGUUCCCUGUUUCAGCCGAUUGGAAAAUGGAUCUGAACAGCAUGUUUCUGAACAACGAAUAUUUACGUCCAGUAGAGUACCAUAAAUGGGAUGAUUUUCAACUCCACUUAAUAUUGGAUUGCUACGGAUUGCGCAUUCAUAUUACCGUAAUUUAUGCGGAUCAUGAAACAAUGUGGAAUUACGAAAGGGACAGAACAGGAAAUUUAAUAA